RNAcentral lists this non-coding RNA (166 nucleotides) under Alteracholeplasma palmae J233. RNAcentral's name for it is "Acholeplasma palmae J233 Lysine riboswitch aptamer". It matches the Rfam family "Lysine riboswitch aptamer". Rfam says of the family: Riboswitches are metabolite binding domains within certain messenger RNAs that serve as precision sensors for their corresponding targets. Allosteric rearrangement of mRNA structure is mediated by ligand binding, and this results in modulation of gene expression. RNAcentral also lists the same sequence under 1 other name. The record is from Rfam by way of RNAcentral. Lineage: Bacteria; Bacillati; Mycoplasmatota; Mollicutes; Acholeplasmatales; Acholeplasmataceae.
AAAAUAGCAUGAGGCAGCGAUGCAAAUGAUUAGUAUCUGGAGAAGGCAUUCUAAGAAGGAUAUGAAAGGUAACCAUCGCCGAGUAUAGAUUAUGGCAAUAAUCUUAUACGGGGUUAUAGGAAACACUUAUAACACUCCUACUUAUAGUAGAGGCGCUUGCAAAUCG